This 674-nucleotide long non-coding RNA is filed under the name Medicago truncatula (barrel medic). RNAcentral describes it as "lncRNA gene29343". The record is from RNAcentral. Lineage: Eukaryota; Viridiplantae; Streptophyta; Magnoliopsida; Fabales; Fabaceae.
UACUAUAAAAUCUACUAGAAGUAGAAGUACAUAGCUAUAUGUAAAAUGUAACCACAUAAAAAUAAACAUGAAUUAAUCAAAGUUUCCUGACCACCCACAUAACUGCUAUUUUCUCCUACAUGUCAAAUAAUUUGAAUUGAAAAUCUUCAAUCUGAAAAUUCUUUUGAGUAGCCAAAUUAAAGACGAUUUGUUUAUCUGGCUCUGCUAUACUGUCUUAUGGGUCCAUGCCAAGUGAUACUGUGUGACUGUCUCUGUAUGUUUGAGAUUGUCAAAUUUGUUUACAAUUCUUUGAGUAUACUUUGUCUGGAUGCAGGGAAAAUAAUUUGAGAUAAAAACACAAAUAAAGAAAACCAAAUAAAUUCAUAUACCGAGUAGAAAAUAAAUGAAAUGACAUGUUUUCCUUUUGCUUUUUCAUAGGUUCUCUUUGUUGAAAGUAAUUAUAUUUGAGGUGUUGUAAAACAUAAAUAUGAACAUUCUCUCAACUAUGUUUAUUACAUUGUAGAAGUCUUGUUUAUUUAAUUGAAUACAAAGUGAAAAAAAUCAUCCAUAUUAGUGGUGUUUGUAUUCAAUUUUUCAGUGAUGAGAUUAGAAACUCUUCAACAUCUAGGUUUCUUCUUCUUCUUCGCAAUUUAUGACAACUUUUAUGAUUUUUUUUUUUUCAUAUAUAAUUUGAU